This 492-nucleotide ribosomal RNA is filed under the name uncultured bacterium. RNAcentral describes it as "partial 16S ribosomal RNA". It matches the Rfam family "Bacterial small subunit ribosomal RNA", at positions 29 to 507 of the family's 1533-position model. The record is from RNAcentral.
AGUGAACGCUGGCGGUAGGCCUAACACAUGCAAGUCGAACGGCAGCACAGUAAGAGCUUGCUCUUACGGGUGGCGAGUGGCGGACGGGUGAGGAAUACAUCGGAAUCUACUUUUUCGUGGGGGAUAACGUAGGGAAACUUACGCUAAUACCGCAUACGACCUACGGUUGAAAGCAGGGGAUCUUCGGACCUUGCGCGAUUGAAUGAGCCGAUGUCGGAUUAGCUAGUUGGCGGGGUAAAGGCCCACCAAGGCGACGAUCCGUAGCUGGUCUGAGAGGAUGAUCAGCCACACUGGAACUGAGACACGGUCCAGACUCCGACGGGAGGCAGCAGUGGGGAAUAUUGGACAAUGGGCGGAAGCCUGAUCCAGCCAUACCGCGUGGGUGAAGAAGGCCUUCGGGUUGGAAAGCCCUUUUGUUGGGAAAGAAAAGCAGCAGGUUAAUACCCCGCUGUUCUGACGGUACCCAAAGAAUAAGCACCGGCUAACUUCGUG